This 308-nucleotide long non-coding RNA is filed under the name Phoenix dactylifera (date palm). RNAcentral's name for it is "long non-coding RNA (PDAC_LNC018326)". Lineage: Eukaryota; Viridiplantae; Streptophyta; Magnoliopsida; Arecales; Arecaceae. The record is from RNAcentral.
AUUGUGAAAUGACUUCUUUUGUAAAUUGAUUUUAUUUUCUCUAUUUCAAAGACUUGUAGAGCCCUUCUUAUGGUAUAUUGAGUUGCAUUGUACUCUCGUGAUUCCUCACUUCCAACCCUGAUGUUAGUUAUGAUUGGGUCGUGGCCGAGUGAGUGGUAGUCUUGAUUAUACUCCUUUUUAGUAGAGUAUUGGGAGGGUGCAUUAUGGCAUUCAUGCAUGGCUUGGCAGUAUCUGCAGGACACCUAUAGUCGAUGGGGUUGAACAUCAGCCUGUGUGCACAUAGUAGCCUUCUGGGUGGGCGGAGCCCA